Molecule: long non-coding RNA, 5824 nt
Organism: Gallus gallus (chicken)
Lineage: Eukaryota; Metazoa; Chordata; Aves; Galliformes; Phasianidae
Source: Ensembl
UUGUAAUGCUUUUUUUAUUAAUAUUUGAAAAAACUGUGGCAUUCUCAUAUUAAAGAGACCCAGGGUCCACCCUUCUCUUGGCUCAUUUAAGGGCUAGCCUUCAAUGGGAGAACGUCUUCUGGGCAAUGGCUACUUUCUGAGAAGAAGUGUUUUGUAGUCAGAAACUGAAUCACUGCUUAGAUUUGAAAUAAUUUCUUCCUUUGAAAUGGAAUCAGUGUCAUAUGAGGAAAACCCUUCCUGACAUUUCUUUGAAACGGAAAAGGGAGGGGAGGAGAGGAGAGCCAAUUUACUAAAAUGAAAAUUGUUUUAGUGUUCUCAGGUUCUGAUGUGUUCUGAUACGGGUUGAUAAAUCAUAAUAAUUCUAGGAACCCACCACAAAGAGUGGAAAAGGCCCAAGUCUUUCUGACCACAGCUGAAAAAAUGUACUUGUGCAAUUAAAACAUACUUUACGAAAAGAAAAUUACAAACAGUGCAGAACAUGGCAACAAAUCAUGACAAUGUGACAAUGUAUAUAAAACAAAAAUAUUGACUGUGUAUAUAUAGAAUGAAAUUAAAAACUCUUAUCAAAUGUGAAACAUAUAAAAAGUAAAAUUCAAUAAUCUCUAUCAGGAAUUUUUCUACCAGUUAUUAUUUUAUUGAAGUUCAGCAGUGAAUUUUUAAGUAGAAUUCAGAUAGGAACCCGUAGAUGGGAACAUGUGCCUCAUCAUAAUCCAAGUAAGGUCCAAGGGAGCAUCUGGCUGGAGAGCGGAUUUGCAGCAGAGGACAAGGAGUGCUGGUGAACAAUGAGGUGAGAAACAACCAUAAAGGUACCCUUGUAUUAAGAAAGGCCAGCAGACUCUUCAGCUUCAUGAGGGGGAGUCUUGCCUGCAGAUGAAGGGAAAUAAUUGUUUUCUCUGUUCAGCACUUGGUGGGACACACCUGGAGUCCUGGAUCCAGUUCUCAGCUCUCCAGUGUGAGAAAGGCAUGACCAUGUUGGACCGAGUGAAGGGCCACAAACAUGAUGAAAGAACUGGAGAAUCCAUCAAGGCUGAGAGAGCUGGCACUGUUCAUCCUAGGGGAGAAAAGAAUUUUUUUUUUCUCCUUCCUAAUGAGAGAGUGAUCUGAGACAAGCUUUGAGAUGUUUCAGAGUCUCUAACCUCAGAAAUAUUUGAAAUCCAACUAGAUAUGGUCCUGAUAAAACUUGGAGUCAGGCUUGUACUACAUGAUAUCCAGAGGUUCCUUUCUCUCUCAGCUAUUCUGUGAUUGUGUGGUACAACACUGUCCCAAAAGUGUCAGUUUUAAACAAGACCCUGACACUUGGAAGGACUUGUACAGGCUGCAUGAGACUUUGAUGCCAGUUGGAAAAUUUUACAGCCUAAACUGUACUCCAUCUUGGUUUUAAAAAUAAUCUUUUUUCUUAAAAAAAUCUCAGGAGAUUUUUAGAAUACAGUACAAGAAGUUCAUACAUGCUGAGAAGGGAUUGGCAAAAUUAUUUGCGAAUUUCAGUGAAACAAUGCAUCAGGUAGUACUGUGUGAUGCUGCUUCUGCUACUAUGUUUGAUGCUGAGAAUUGUUCAGUACAUGUUAAUAGACCUUUGUGAUCACAUUCUGUUUUCUUUGUUGAAACUGAGGGUCUUUCUUCAUUCCUUAGGGUGUUCUCUCUUUGUUCCCUGGUCUUACUAAUCUUUACCAAAAUUUCACAGUGCAGAAAGGCACUUACUACUCAUUUAUAUGGCAUAAGCAUUCCUUUAAAAAUAAAUAUAUAUAAUUUAUUUAUACAUAAAGCACAAUAUCCCACAUUCACACAAACACACAGAGAGCAUAGUCUUUUUUUUAAUACAUAUUUGAAAGCUUAAACUAGUGUCUGAACAGCUGAGUAACUUUAAUGCUGCAUGCAAAUCAGCUUAAAAAGUAACAAACCUCCGAAAAAUGUAAUAAAAGCCGAUAGUGGCUCAAAUUCUAGAUCUGAUAUGAACUCUCACUGUUCAGAAAACUGCAUUAAUUGUCUUUUAUUUUUAGAAAAUUCACUACAAUAACUUAAAAAGGAGAUGCAUUCUUUAUCAUUGUGGCAUAUCCAGGAAUUUCAUUUUUAUCCUAUAACUAUUCUUUUGGGAACAUGCAGUGAACCAACAAGGCAAAGUUCAUUUCACAAACUUGACAAAGUAGGACAGUGACCUACAAAUGACAAAUUCUAAAAAAAAGAGGCAUGGUUCCAGUUUUCUAUUUACUUGUCUACUUGUUUUUAUAAUUCUGAGAAAAAUAUAAGUUUGAUGUGAGUGCUGGCCAGCAAAAAUAAAACUGGGUGUGCAAGUGAUAUAUUUUAAUGUUCAAAGCUUAUUUCACUUAUUUGCAAGGAAUAUGGAAUUUCUACUUGUUUGAAAAUAAAACAUGAGGCAUUCAACUUUACUUAUGCUGCAGUUUAGAAAUGUACAGGAAAAAAUGCUCAUUUUAGUGUUAAAAAUGUUUGAAUUUCUCUGCACUAAUUCCAGUAUAAUUUGAAUAUGGAUUAAAAUUCUGACAAAUAAAAGAACUGAAACCAAUCUUUACUUAAUAGUAAAGAUUUUAUUGGUGUCCAAAACAAUUAGCUAUCCUUGAAUAACUUGGUAUUUUUCUCUAAAAAAUCUGGAGACUAGAAAAUGUUAAUUUUCCAUUUAUUAGGUACAAGCAAGUCAUCUUUGCCUACUGCUUUCCCCUAAGCUUUUGUAAAGUAGUAUGAAGAAUGAGAACGAGAAAUCAAGAUACUCCAAUCGAAAAGCUCACCAUCUGAACAUAUAUCCAAGAAUGUAAAUUGCACACUGAGCUUUUUUUGUCUUGUCUAAUCAGCCAGAUGACUAAAACUUACAAAUACGAAAUUACUAUGAAUAGCAAAUUUUUAUGGCUGUUCUCCUAACUAACCUAUAAAAACAUAGCACAUUAUCAUGAUAAAUGAUCUUCAGGCGUUUGGAAUAUGAUGAGCACUUGUUUAAAAAAAUGUGUGUUUUAAAGUUUGAAGCAAAAUGGAAAGAAAUAUUUUUAUCAAUAUAAUUAUAUUUCUGCAAGGAUAAAUUCAGUGGGUUUAGAGAAACAUAGGUUCCUUUAAACAGUAGGUAUAUAAGCAACAGCCAUUUUCCAUCUACUUUAUCUUGUCACAAGGAUCAGCUACAACUUUUUAAACUUCCCAAAAUCUCAGACAUUAUCUAGUGAUUCAGCCAAAACAAAGUGACAGAGUAGAACUGCAAUAUUAGUAGGAUCUUAAUUACUAAAAAUGAAAUAAUUAAUUAAAAAGUAGGUUGAUUAUUAUCAGUGAGUCUUGUUAUGUGUUAUGCAGUGAAACCAGAUUGUUAAAUAUUAUUUACUGUGCAGGUUCUGAAUUUUAUACCACAAUGCCUCAUUACUUGAGUUGCAAAUUUGCAAAAUGGCACUACUUUUUCUAUCAGUCACAUUCUGAAUCAUAACAUUUCUGUGUUUUAACAUAAAUACAGCUUUAUCAUAAUCCACUUAAGGUGGAUUUAGCAGAAAAAAAUGUCAUUUAUUUUCAACAGAUGAGUUAAAAGUGUUUUCAAGAAUUGUACCUUCAGCUGAUCAUGCUUUUCACUGUUUUAUGUAUUUAUAAUCACUUCUGUUUAAACCUCAGUGUGUCUAAAUCAUUUUGAUUACGUAAUACCUUCCAUUUCUCUGUAAAAAUGGUAAUCUGACUUUCACAGCUGCCAAAAACAGGUACAGGUUCUAACUCCAUCAAUCUUAUUCUCAAACAGAUAGGCUUUAUACUGGCCUUGUCUUCACUGAUAUUAGCAAAUCACAUCUGCAGGGUCACAUAUCGCAUACAUUUAGUAAAUUAUCCUAACUUAAUACUACUGAUCUCUCAGUUAAGGAUUUUUUGUUGGAGUUCAGGUCCCACACUGAGAGCUGUCAUUGAAUCACAUUUUCUGUGGUGUACAGUUGUAUAAUAUGCACACAAAAUCAGGCAAGCAGAAACAGCAGUGGGCUUUUUAAGUAAAAUUCAAGACAAUGACAGAAACAUCAUUGAAUUUGCAUGACUUGCACUGUAGUUUAGUGUUAGCAUAAUUUUUUAAAGUCUUGUUUUAAUGGAAUUUUCAUUUAACUGUACUGCUAUAUUAUAUACUGCAGCAGCUGGCUUUUAUUUACUUUACUUCUCUGAUUGGUGAAGUAGGACAUGUCCUGAGCCCACUCCAUCCAAGAUCAAAUGUUUCAGUAAAUUAGAAGUCUAGUUAACCCACAGAUUCUGUCUUACCCACCUUCCUUAUUAAACAAUGAAAAGAUGUUACAUUUUUUGACAGUGAUUCAAGUCUCUGGAGGUAUUACCCUAUUACCUUAAAGGAGACUGGUAAGGAUCAGCCCUUAUUAAUUUAGCUGCAGGAAAGGUGUCUCUUUGAAAAUGAGCCACUUGUAAAGAACUAAUCUAUACUUAUGUAACAUAUAAUAGCAACUGUAUAAUUAGUCAGAAAUAGAAACCUGACAUAGUUCUGCAAAAAAUUUUGGAUCAGAAAAGAAUAAUAUUUUCACAAGAAUCUCCUUAAUGUCAAUGUAUUCCAUUCCACUGUAAUUAUAAAUUUGCAAUGGUAUUGCCUAAGUGAUUUAAUAAGUGACAGGGAAACCCAUCUCACUUUGAAUGUUGAAAAAUAGACACUUGAAGUUUAAGUUAUCCACUCUUUCUAAACUGUGGAAAGAUAUUUAGAGAUGAGAGGGUAUCUCACUUGUCUUAAACAUCUGUCAUUGUGUGAUAACUACAUAUUGGAAAUAGAAGUUUCUCUCAGGAAAGGAAGAACCUGAUAAGAAGAUCAUUGGACCACUGCUUUGAAUGCAGAUAACUGACUUUUAGAUAACUACGUGAAGUGAGAUGCAUGCAACAUCUGUUUGUACCCUAAGAGCUCGUAAUCUUAGAGGCAAUUUAAAAGCUCAUAGCUUCUGUUCAACCUUGGACAUGUGCUGAGUGAUAUUUUUCAAAUUCUAGAUUUCAGUUCUAGACAUAUUUAAAUAUUUGCUUUUUCUGUUUUUGACACACAUUGCAGGAGUAAUGAUAUUUGUCAUUAUGUGGAUUUUCUAUCUUGCUAAAAUUUGAUGCAUUAGUAACAGUGGUGAUUUUUUUGUAUGUGGGGAGGGAGUUUUUUUGUUUUUGUUUUUCCCCACUAGGGCAAUAUGCAUGUAGAUAUAAAAUAGAGUAUUAUAAUGGAUAAUCAGUAAUCAGUACUGUCUUCAAAAAUGUCCUAGACUGCCUAGACUGUUCAGAUUUUUACCUAAGGGUUGCACAGGAGAAUAAGACUAUUCGUGAAGAAGUACCAGAAGGACUUUCUUUAGAGGAUUUAGUUGUUUCUAUUUCAAAUUCUUUUUCAUCAAGCCAUCAUGAAAAAUUGAACAGAAUUCUUUGGGUUUAUAAUCUGUUUCAUCACUUGCCACUUCAAAACUUUAUUUUACAAAAUAAUAUGGUGACUCAUUUAUUAAGACUAUGUCUCCUACCUUUUGCUUUGGACCAGAGUCUAGCUGAUAAUUUACUACUGAGGUGUAUUUUGCUUGUAUGUAUUUCUAAAAGGCUGUCACAUUUUUGUACAUGAAUCCCAUCCACAAAUAAGGAUUGUUGAGAGAAUCUGUUGCUGUGGAGAAGAAGCAGCAGCCCUUGGCUGUGAUGAAGUUUGAAGAUAUCUAUGACUUGAAGAGUUUGGAUAUCAUGAAGAGAGAGUGGAAAUGUGAUUAUGAGGAAAUAAAAAGUACAAUUUAUGUGUGGUUGAUAGUACUAUAUGGGAAUGUCAGUUCCCAAGCAGAAAAAAUUUCUGACUCAAUUAAUGUGUGGUUUUUUUUUACUGCUUUUUUUUUUUUAAUAAAAAAAAUAAAAAGUAUUGAAUCAGAUUUAC